UCACUAGAUAAAGAACACAAAUGCAUCGUCAAACAUGAGAAUAAUAAAGGAGGAGUUGAUCAAGAGAUUCUCUUUCCUGCAAUAAAGAAAGACACCACACCUCCAGAAAAUGAAGUGCACAAAUCGGGGAUAUUGGAGACACGCAUGACUUCGAAUGAUCCUAAAAAACCUUGUUUGGAAGGUGAAAAUGAACAGGUGAAAGUAGCUGAACGACUUUUCUCAGAAGCACUGGGGCAGCAGCUUACCAGCACCUCUGCCUACUACACCUACCUGCUCCUGCUCCUCAACAGCGUGGUCUACUUUGCCUUCGCUGCCUUCUGUCUGUUUAGAAGAACAGCUGUCUGUGGUGAUGGGAAGAGUUCCUAACAGAUGGUUGCAGAAAGGGGACAUCUUUCCUGCAUCAUGUAUUGUCCCUGACAGAGUAGCCCACAGCAGUCAUUAGCGCCACUCUCUCCAGUCUCCCCCAGCUCCUCCAGCCAGCCCGAGUCGUGGCAGCUGCAGUGUAGACAGCACACAGCCUCCAGCCAUGCUCCAGUGCCCUCGCCCCAGACAGCUGCGUGCAAACCUGCCCUUGGCACACCCUGGAGUGGCCUUAUGUCUGCUCAAAUUCUGUGCUUUGUUUUUCAUAAUAAGCACAAUAAACAAACAAGCAA
This is a non-coding RNA of Galeopterus variegatus (Sunda flying lemur), 653 nucleotides long. Lineage: Eukaryota; Metazoa; Chordata; Mammalia; Dermoptera; Cynocephalidae. The record is from the annotation of a RefSeq genome assembly.